RNAcentral lists this ribosomal RNA (426 nucleotides) under uncultured bacterium. RNAcentral describes it as "bacterial SSU rRNA". It matches the Rfam family "Bacterial small subunit ribosomal RNA", at positions 355 to 774 of the family's 1533-position model. The record is from RNAcentral.
UGGGGAAUUUUGCGCAAUGGGCGAAAGCCUGACGCAGCAACGCCGCGUGAGUGAUGAAGGUCUUCGGAUCGUAAAGCUCUUUCGGCUGGGACGAAAACGGUCUGGCGAAUAACCAGGCCCUUGACGGUACCGGAAGAAGAAGUACCGGCUAACUCUGUGCCAGCAGCCGCGGUAAUACAGAGGGUGCAAGCGUUGUUCGGAAUUAUUGGGCGUAAAGCGCGUGUAGGCUGCGACGUAUGUCGGGUGUGAAAGCCCUCGGCUCAACUGAGGAAGUGCGCCCGAAACUACGUUGCUCGAGUGCUGGAGAGGGUAGCGGAAUUCCCGGUGUAGAGGUGAAAUUCGUAGAUAUCGGGAGGAAUACCAGUGGCGAAGGCAAUCCCCUGGACCUGUACUGACGCUCAUGCACGAAAGCGUGGGGAGCAAACA